UAACACGUGGGUAACCUGCCCAAGAGACUGGGAUAACACCUGGAAACAGAUGCUAAUACCGGAUAACAACACUAGACGCAUGUCUAGAGUUUAAAAGAUGGUUCUGCUAUCACUCUUGGAUGGACCUGCGGUGCAUUAGCUAGUUGGUAAGGUAACGGCUUACCAAGGCAAUGAUGCAUAGCCGAGUUGAGAGACUGAUCGGCCACAUUGGGACUGAGACACGGCCCAAACUCCUACGGGAGGCAGCAGUAGGGAAUCUUCCACAAUGGACGCAAGUCUGAUGGAGCAACGCCGCGUGAGUGAAGAAGGGUUUCGGCUCGUAAAGCUCUGUUGGUAGUGAAGAAAGAUAGAGGUAGUAACUGGCCUUUAUUUGACGGUAAUUACUUAGAAAGUCACGGCUAACUACGUGCCAGCAGCCGCGGUAAUACGUAGGUGGCAAGCGUUGUCCGGAUUUAUUGGGCGUAAAGCGAGUGCAGGCGGUUCAAUAAGUCUGAUGUGAAAGCCUUCGGCUCAACCGGAGAAUUGCAUCAGAAACUGUUGAACUUGAGUGCAGAAGAGGAGAGUGGAACUCCAUGUGUAGCGGUGGAAUGCGUAGAUAUAUGGAAGAACACCAGUGGCGAAGGCGGCUCUCUGGUCUGCAACUGACGCUGAGGCUCGAAAGCAUGGGUAGCGAACAGGAUUAGA
RNAcentral lists this ribosomal RNA (684 nucleotides) under Lactobacillus gasseri. RNAcentral's name for it is "bacterial SSU rRNA". It matches the Rfam family "Bacterial small subunit ribosomal RNA", at positions 111 to 782 of the family's 1533-position model. The record is from RNAcentral. Lineage: Bacteria; Bacillati; Bacillota; Bacilli; Lactobacillales; Lactobacillaceae.